ACUCCUACGGGAGGCAGCAGUGGGGAAUAUUGGACAAUGGGGGGAACCCUGAUCCAGCCAUGCCGCGUGUGUGAAGAAGGCCUUUUGGUUGUAAAGCACUUUAAGCGGGGAGGAGGCUUACCUAGUUAAUACCUAGGCUAAGUGGACGUUACUCGCAGAAUAAGCACCGGCUAACUCUGUGCCAGCAGCCGCGGUAAUACAGAGGGUGCAAGCGUUAAUCGGAUUUACUGAGCGUAAAGCGCGCGUAGGCGGCUAAUUAAGUCGGAUGUGAAAUCCCCGAGCUCAACUUGGGAAUUGCAUUCGAUACUGGUUGGCUAGAGUGUGGGAGAGGAUGGUAGAAUUCCAGGUGUAGCGGUGAAAUGCGUAGAGAUCUGGAGGAAUACCGAUGGCGAAGGCAGCCAUCUGGCCUAACACUGACGCUGAGGUGCGAAAGCAUGGGGAGCAAACAGGAUUAGAUACCCUGGUAGUCCAUGCUGUAAACGAUGUCUACUAGCCGUUGGGGGAUUUGAUCCUUUAGUGGCGCAGCUAACGCGAUAAGUAGACCGCCUGGGGAGUACGGUCGCAAGACUAAAACUCAAAUGAAUUGACGGGGGCCCGCACAAGC
RNAcentral lists this ribosomal RNA (604 nucleotides) under uncultured organism. RNAcentral's name for it is "bacterial SSU rRNA". It matches the Rfam family "Bacterial small subunit ribosomal RNA", at positions 335 to 930 of the family's 1533-position model. The record is from RNAcentral.